AUUUGUCUGGUUAAUUCCGAUAACGAACGAGACCUUAACCUGCUAACUAGAUUCUUUUGUUUUACAAAAGUUAUCUUCUUAGAGGGACUAUGUAAAUCAAUUACAUGGAAGUUUGAGGCAAUAACAGGUCAGUGAUGCCCUUAUAUGUCCUGGGCUGCACGCGUGCUACACUGAUGCAUACAACAAGUGCCUAACCAGAUAUGGUAUGGCAAUCUCGAAUAUGCAUCGUGAUGGGGAUAGAUCUUUGCAAUUAUAGAUCUUGAACGAAGAAUUCCUAGUAAGUGCAAGUCAUCAUCUUGCAUUGAUUAUGUCCCUGCCCUUUGUACACACCGCCCGUCGCUCCUACCGAUACCGGGUGAUCCGGUGAACCUUUUGGACCUUUACGGGGAAGAUAAGUAAACCAUAUCACCUAGAGGAAGGAGAAGUCGUAACAAGGUUUCCGUAGGUGAACCUGCRGAAGGAUCA
RNAcentral lists this ribosomal RNA (465 nucleotides) under uncultured ciliate. RNAcentral's name for it is "SSU rRNA". It matches the Rfam family "Eukaryotic small subunit ribosomal RNA". Lineage: Eukaryota; Ciliophora. The record is from RNAcentral.